RNAcentral lists this small nuclear RNA (178 nucleotides) under Tupaia belangeri chinensis (Chinese tree shrew). Its description in RNAcentral is "Tupaia chinensis (Chinese tree shrew) 7SK RNA". It matches the Rfam family "7SK RNA", at positions 1 to 181 of the family's 331-position model. Rfam says of the family: 7SK was discovered as an abundant small nuclear RNA in the mid-70s but a possible function has only recently been suggested. Two independent studies have found that 7SK RNA binds the CDK9/cyclin T complex (known as elongation factor P-TEFb). P-TEFb activates transcription by phosphorylating the C-terminal domain of RNA polymerase II. The record is from Rfam by way of RNAcentral. Lineage: Eukaryota; Metazoa; Chordata; Mammalia; Scandentia; Tupaiidae.
GGAUGUGAGGGCAAUCUGGCUGCGGUACCUGUCACCCCUUGAUCGCCAGAGUUGAUUCGGCUGAUCAGGCUGACUAAGCGGGUGUCCACUUCCUCCCUCACCAUUCCAUGUGCGUCCCUCCUAAAGCUGCGUGCUCGGUCGAAGAGGACGAAUCUUCCUUUUAAGAAAUACAAUCAUU